RNAcentral lists this ribosomal RNA (253 nucleotides) under uncultured bacterium. RNAcentral's name for it is "partial 16S ribosomal RNA". It matches the Rfam family "Archaeal small subunit ribosomal RNA", at positions 474 to 727 of the family's 1478-position model. The record is from RNAcentral.
UACCUGCAGCCCGAGUGGUGGCCGUUAUUAUUGGGCCUAAAACGUCCGUAGCCGGCUGAGUAGAUGCCUGUGUAAAUCGAACGGCUUAACCGUUCGAACUGCGGGUAGACCGCUCAGCUUGGGACCGGGAGAGACACGAAGUACUCCGGGGGUAGAGGUGAAAUUCUGUAAUCCUCGGGGGACUACCGGUGGCGAAGGCGUCGUGAUAGAACGGCUCCGACGGUGAGGGACGAAGCCCUGGGGCGCAAACCGG